AUUCAGAGCUUGUUGUCCAGGGCAAAGGAUGGAGGAGGUGGUGUCCCUGAUUAAAACAACACAAAUACUGUUUUCAAAAAUGUAGCUGGCUGGUGCCCAUGUUGUUUUAAUUUGCUGGGACCAGAUUGUCCAGCCCUCGUGGAUUUGAUCCCAGACGGGCUCGUUUGACUUAUUCAGAGAAAAACUCUGCUUUCAGCCACAUGCUGUCCCCCUCACCCUGGCCAAAUGUGUUGCAAUCCUCACUAAAGGUCCCAACAGUUGUUGUCCAGGAACCCUGAACCCACCUUCUGGUUCCCAUCUCCAGAUGCUACUCGCAUGUCCUCCACGUGCCACUGGCCCCAGGAGGACACCACAGAGCUUGUCUAGGCUUAACCUCCAAGUGAAACAAGACGAGCUGCAAGUAUAUGCUUGGCAGCCUGGAGAACACUGGGAGAUUAUGAAGACAGUCUCUCCUUUAAAAAUGACCAUGAUCUCACUCCUCCUCCCACCCCCAUGGAAACUGGAGCACAGCUCAAGGAGACCCGCUGUCACAGGAUCCUGCUUACGGGCACAAAAGCCGGGAAAUUUCAGAGCCAAUCUGGGCCAAGGGAGGCCGGAGCUCGUGAGCUGGGCUGAAAUGAUUCUUCCAGACUGCAGAGAAAAGCGUGGCCUGCCCGCUGGCCAGCCUGCCCAGCGGCAAACAGGAAAUCCCAGAAUUUAUAGAUGACCCCGUUACAAGGCAAAUGUUUUGGAACAAAUUGUUCUUCUUUUUAAAUCCUUGUUUUUCACUAGUUUUUCUUUCUGGAUUCCCCCCUCCUUUCCACCUUCCCGCUGUCCUUGUUAAACUGGGGACACAGCGCCACCUGCUGCCUGUUGUGGGCGGCGGGACUCCGCUGGGACCGGCCCUGGGUCCUGUCCCCAGUUCCCCUUCCCUACACUGGGUGGGACAGUGGCUUUCUGGCUCCUGUCCCGAGAGUCUGUGCUUAAGAUCACGUACCAAGCUGCGAGAGAACUGCUCCCGUGGUUAUUAUGUGACCUGAAGAUGCGCGGUAAACUCUCUCCCCAUCACCCGUCCUCUGGGAGGGCCAAAACCGGCGGAAAAAGCAAAUCACGUGGCAUCACCGUCCAAGGCCAGGUCUCCACUCCCUGCACACCAGCUGUACCAGCUCUGGCCAAUCCCGUCAACCCAACGAGCCUCAAUGUCUUCUGGACCCAACUGUGGCUCAACUCGACCCAGGCGGCAUGGAGAACAUAGGUGCGUGUGCCUGGCCCACGGACAACGCUGCAUCAGCAUUUGUCUGCUUUCCUUACUGCCUGGAGUAUUGCUCCUGGGCCUCAGAAGAUUGGCAUGUCUCUCUCCUUAUAAGAGUGGGGGCUCCACAGGAACACAGUGCCCCAGUGCCCAUGAUGAACCUCGGCAAAGCCCCCACUUGUGAGCUGAUUGACCUGGAAGGGUGGCUUCACCCUCUUUGGUCUUGUUUUCCUCCCCUGUAUCUGGGGCAGUAAUUGUACCCAUAUUACAGAGCACUGCUGUGAGCACUGAAGUCAAGGCACAUCCAGAACUUAGCAGAGGGGCCUGCAGGAGGUGGAUCGUCUCCCACCCUAGCUGUUAUUGUAAGACAAACCAGCGCCUGACACAUGGUAAGCAUUUGAUGAAUGAAUGAAAAUAUCAUAGGACCUAAGUCAGAAGACUGACGAGUUACAGUCCAGCCAAGGGACACCAAACAUCAGUGCCUGAUCCUCCUCGUUCAAAAACUUUUCCUUACUGACUGUAGGACCUUCUGCCCGGGACCUCAGUUUUCCCACCUGUCAGAUGGGCAGGACGUCUAUCCUAUGCCUGGUGCUCAGAGAUACAGAUGGAUCUGUCCAGGCGUGUGCAUGAAACUGCCUUGAAAUGUUUAAAGAGUAUAGGAAGGAAGGGAGGCUUUACUCUCAUGCAGGGUGGUUCCAUGUGCCUGGAGGCUUCACCCUCAUCCUCCAAGGGUUCCUGGGGCACGUGGGGUUUCUCUUUACACAAAGUGGUAGCCACAUCCCUGAGCCCCAACUCACUGGCAGAGUGUGGGAGGAGGGUCAGGUGAGUUUUACACUACAGAGUCCAGGCUAAUUAACUCGUUUGCUACUGACACAAGUUGAAUACACUCCAAGAAGUGGGUUCCCCCUCAAGGAAAGCUCCUCCUUUGACCGCAAGAGAGUGAAUAAUGUGUGGUGGCUUAAUGCUACCGCCAAUAUGGCAACUAGUUGGCGUGACUUGUGGCAGGAGAGCAGGGGAUCAGGUGACAACGGGAAGCAAGUCUGGGGCCACCUUGAGCACCAUGAGGGAGAGUCCCAACCUAGUUCAGCGGGCCCUGGGGAGCCACAGAGGACUUACAGGCAAGGGAGGAACAUGUCCAGAAAGAGAACACAGGCAGCUGCAAGAGGGAUGAAUUACAGCAAGGACGACACAGCUCCUUCCAUGCCACGUGGCCUCCAGGUAGGAUAACCAACCGCCCUGGUUCACCAGGGACACAGGGAGUUCCCAACACAUGGGAUCUUCAGUUUUAAAGCCAGGAAAGUCCCAGGAUGAGCUGGUUACCCUAAGUUAGUGUCAAAAGCGCCUCCUGGAGUUGUGCAAGACCGAUUCUGACUCCUGCCCUAUAAGGCAUGUUUUUCCUCCACUCUUCACCUGCUCUCAAAAAUAACCUAUCUCCUGUGCCACUCCCUCUCAGUUCUAGCCUGCUGAGCAACAACUGGCUUCCUGGAUGAAUACACAGGGAUGGACUGCACGCCGAUCCCUUCUGGGUAUUCAUCGUGCAUUUAAACAAUGGCCUCCUGGAGACAGUGUUUAAUCCAAUGGAGUGACUCUAACAGUAAGCAUUCUUAACUUAGGAGAGAUGGGAAGACUUUGGUGGGGGUGGAGGAGGAGGUAAGUGGGGAGUGGCCCACAUAGCAUACCCACAUUAUAUCCCCUCGGCAGCUAUCCAUUAUACCUUGCACAGAGCCAGCUCUGUCUUCCUGGCUCUCCACUAGCUCCCCCUGCCCUGCCAAGCAAGCCUGCGGGAGCCUGAGCUGCUUAAAUAUUCUGUAAAUAAUGCUGACUACGGAACUUUAUAGAUAGACUCACAGAAUCAGAACAAUAGAAUCACAGAACGUCAGAGCAGAAACAGAUGCGAGGCAUCAUAGAGUCCAGGGUCAGAAAACACACUGCACUCAUGCUGCCACUUCCCCUGCCAGGCUCGUGGCAGACAUCACUAAUCAAUCAUGACAUGGUCUCGCUGCGCUUGUUUGUAGCUGUACAAUCCUUCGAGGCAUUCCAGGAAGCAACUACCAAUUAUCUUGGGUCUACUAAUUAAAGCUAAGGUUUAUUGAAUGCAUUUACUAUAUUCCCUCUCCCACACCCUUUUUCAUUUUUACCACUUGAAUCACCAA
Molecule: non-coding RNA, 3384 nt
Organism: Vicugna pacos (alpaca)
Lineage: Eukaryota; Metazoa; Chordata; Mammalia; Artiodactyla; Camelidae
Source: RefSeq, a predicted model, not a curated record